GGCAUAGUUCAGUUGGUAGAACAUUGGUCUCCAAAACCAAGUGUCGUGGGUUCGAGUCCUGCUGCCC
This 67-nucleotide transfer RNA is filed under the name Peptoniphilus raoultii. It matches the Rfam family "tRNA". From Rfam's summary of the family: Transfer RNA (tRNA) molecules are approximately 80 nucleotides in length. Their secondary structure includes four short double-helical elements and three loops (D, anti-codon, and T loops). The record is from RNAcentral. Lineage: Bacteria; Bacillati; Bacillota; Tissierellia; Tissierellales; Peptoniphilaceae.